AAAAAAGACACACCUUAUUAUUGGAAUUGGACUUUCCUUUGUUCCUACUCCUGAUUUUGACUUAUUUGAAUAGAUCAAGGAUUUCCAUUUAUUGGGUAGAAAAUUGGCACUCUUAUUUCAAGAAGAAAUCUGAUAGAGAAACCAGAAACUUGGGCCUAGACCCAUCCGACUACCAACGCUUGCUAGAUUUGGUUUCUCUAUUGGAUGAACAGGAUAGCCCUGAUCCCAAAACCAAUUUAAAACCGACAAGCCCUGAUCCCAGAACCAAUUUAAAACCGACAAGCCCUGAUCCCAGAACCAAUUUAAAACCGACAAGCACAUUCAC
This is a non-coding RNA of Pelobates cultripes (western spadefoot toad), 325 nucleotides long. The record is from the annotation of a GenBank genome assembly. NCBI's taxonomy places the organism in Eukaryota, Metazoa, Chordata, Amphibia, Anura, Pelobatidae.